CCUACGGGUGGCAGCAGUGAGGAAUAUUGGUCAAUGGACGAGAGUCUGAACCAGCCAAGUAGCGUGAAGGAUGACUGCCCUAUGGGUUGUAAACUUCUUUUAUAUGGGAAUAAAAUGUUCCACGUGUGGGAUUUUGUAUGUACCAUAUGAAUAGGGAUCGGCUAACUCCGUGCCAGCAGCCGCGGUAAUACGGAGGAUCCGAGCGUUAUCCGGAUUUAUUGGGUUUAAAGGGAGCGUAGGUGGAUUGUUAAGUCAGUUGUGAAAGUUUGCGGCUCAACCGUAAAAUUGCAGUUGAAACUGGCAGUCUUGAGUACAGUAGAGGUGGGCGGAAUUCGUGGUGUAGCGGUGAAAUGCUUAGAUAUCACGAAGAACUCCGAUUGCGAAGGCAGUUCACUGGACUGCAACUGACACUGAGGCUCGAAAGUGUGGGUAUCAAACAGGAUUAGAUACCCGUGUAGUC
Molecule: ribosomal RNA, 460 nt
Filed under: uncultured bacterium
Lineage: Bacteria
Description: partial 16S ribosomal RNA
Rfam family: Bacterial small subunit ribosomal RNA
Source: RNAcentral